AAACUAACCAGGAUUCCCCCAGUAACGGCGAGUGAAGCGGGAAGAGCUCACGUUGUAAAUCUGACUUCGGUCCGAAUUGUAGUCUGGAGAGGCGCGACCAGCUGGAGACGGGGGCNAAGUCUCUUGGAAAAGAGCAUCAAGGAGGGUGACAAUCCCGUUCUUGCCCCCGCCCUCCACGCGUACGGUCCGUUUUCUACGAGUCGAGUUGCUUGGGAUUGCAGCUCAAAGCGGGUGGUAAAUUCCAUCUAAAGCUAAACACGGGUGGGAGACCGAUAGCGAACAAGUACCGUGAGGGAAAGAUGCAAAGAACUUUGAAAAGAGAGUUAAAGAGUGCCUGAAAUUGCUGAAAGGGAAGCGAAGGAAACCAGUGUCUGGCGGGUCCGCUUCUCCUCCGCCCCUCGGGGCGUUGGUUUGCGUUUCCGCCGUGGCCAGGGCCGGGUAGCUUUGCGGGAGGCUGCGCUUCGGGAGGUAGCAUCUCUUCGGAAUGUGAAUACCGUGGCGUUUUCGUCGCUAGGCUGGCCGGUUCUGACGAAAUGGUUUUCUUUACCCCGUCUUGAAACAC
RNAcentral lists this ribosomal RNA (562 nucleotides) under Hincksia granulosa. RNAcentral describes it as "LSU rRNA". It matches the Rfam family "Eukaryotic large subunit ribosomal RNA", at positions 62 to 662 of the family's 3401-position model. Lineage: Eukaryota; Phaeophyceae; Ectocarpales; Acinetosporaceae. The record is from RNAcentral.